ACAAGUCGGGCAUGUUGCCUGGUUGAUGUGGUGAUAUCACCGAUUUAUCCGUGUCUUAGAGGGACAAUCGAUGUCUAAAGAAAAGUUUGAACGUACAAAACCGCACGUUAACGUCGGUACUAUCGGCCACGUUGACCAUGGUAAAACAACGCUGACCGCUGCCAUCACUACCGUACUGGCUAAAACCUACGGUGGUUCCGCUCGCGCAUUCGACCAGAUCGAUAACGCGCCGGAAGAAAAAGCUCGUGGUAUCACCAUCAACACCUCUCACGUUGAAUAUGACACCCCGACUCGCCACUACGCGCACGUAGACUGCCCGGGCCACGCCGACUAUGUUAAAAACAUGAUCACCGGUGCUGCGCAGAUGGACGGCGCGAUCCUGGUUGUUGCUGCGACUGACGGCCCGAUGCCGCAGACUCGUGAGCACAUCCUGCUGGGUCGUCAGGUAGGCGUUCCGUACAUCAUCGUGUUCCUGAACAAAUGCGACAUGGUUGAUGACGAAGAGCUGCUGGAACUGGUUGAGAUGGAAGUUCGUGAACUGCUGUCUCAGUACGAUUUCCCGGGCGACGACACUCCGAUCGUUCGUGGUUCUGCUCUGAAAGCGCUGGAAGGCGACGCAGAGUGGGAAGCGAAAAUCAUCGAACUGGCUGGCCACCUGGAUACCUAUAUCCCGGAACCAGAGCGUGCGAUUGACAAGCCGUUCCUGCUGCCGAUCGAAGACGUAUUCUCCAUCUCCGGUCGUGGUACCGUUGUUACCGGUCGUGUAGAGCGCGGUAUCAUCAAAGUAGGUGAAGAAGUUGAAAUCGUUGGUAUCAAAGAAACCGCGAAAACCACCUGUACUGGCGUUGAAAUGUUCCGCAAACUGCUGGACGAAGGCCGUGCUGGUGAGAACGUAGGUGUUCUGCUGCGUGGUAUCAAACGUGAAGAAAUCGAACGUGGUCAGGUACUGGCUAAGCCGGGCACCAUCAACCCGCACACCAAGUUCGAAUCUGAAGUGUACAUCCUGUCCAAAGACGAAGGCGGCCGUCAUACUCCGUUCUUCAAAGGCUACCGUCCGCAGUUCUACUUCCGUACUACUGACGUGACUGGCACCAUCGAACUGCCGGAAGGCGUAGAGAUGGUAAUGCCGGGCGACAACAUCAAAAUGGUUGUUACCCUGAUCCACCCGAUCGCGAUGGACGACGGUCUGCGUUUCGCAAUCCGUGAAGGCGGUCGUACCGUUGGCGCGGGCGUGGUUGCUAAAGUUCUCGGCUAAUCGCUGAUAACAUUUGACGCAAUGCGCAAUAAAAGGGCAUCANAUCAGAAGUGCGAAUGCUGACAUAAGUAACGAUAAAGCGGGUGAAAAGCCCGCUCGCCGGAAGACCAAGGGUUCCUGUCCAACGUUAAUCGGGGCAGGGUGAGUCGACCCCUAAGGCGAGGCCGAAAGGCGUAGUCGAUGGGAAACAGGUUAAUAUUCCUGUACUUGGUGUUACUGCGAAGGGGGGACGGAGAAGGCUAUGUUAGCCGGGCGACGGUUGUCCCGGUUUAAGCAUGUAGGCUGGUUAUCCAGGCAAAUCCGGAUAAUCAAGGCUGAGGUGUGAUGACGAGGCACUACGGUGCUGAAGUAACAAAUGCCCUGCUUCCAGGAAAAGCCUCUAAGCAUCAGGUAACAUCAAAUCGUACCCCAAACCGACACAGGUGGUCAGGUAGAGAAUACCAAGGCGCUUGAGAGAACUCGGGUGAAGGAACUAGGCAAAAUGGUGCCGUAACUUCGGGAGAAGGCACGCUGGUGUGUAGGUGAAGUCCCUGCGGAUGGAGCUGAGACCAGUCGAAGAUACCAGCUGGCUGCAACUGUUUAUUAAAAACACAGCACUGUGCAAACACGAAAGUGGACGUAUACGGUGUGACGCCUGCCCGGUGCCGGAAGGUUAAUUGAUGGGGUUAUCCGUAAGGAGAAGCUCUUGAUCGAAGCCCCGGUAAACGGCGGCCGUAACUAUAACGGUCCUAAGGUAGCGAAAUUCCUUGUCGGGUAAGUUCCGACCUGCACGAAUGGCGUAAUGAUGGCCAGGCUGUCUCCACCCGAGACUCAGUGAAAUUGAACUCGCUGUGAAGAUGCAGUGUACCCGCGGCAAGACGGAAAGACCCCGUGAACCUUUACUAUAGCUUGACACUGAACAUUGAGCCUUGAUGUGUAGGAUAGGUGGGAGGCUUUGAAGCGUGGACGCCAGUCUGCGUGGAGCCAACCUUGAAAUACCACCCUUUAAUGUUUGAUGUUCUAACGUUGGCCCCUUACCGGGGUUGCGGACAGUGUCUGGUGGGUAGUUUGACUGGGGCGGUCUCCUCCCAAAGCGUAACGGAGGAGCACGAAGGUUAGCUAAUCCUGGUCGGACAUCAGGAGGUUAGUGCAAUGGCAUAAGCUAGCUUGACUGCGAGCGUGACGGCGCGAGCAGGUGCGAAAGCAGGUCAUAGUGAUCCGGUGGUUCUGAAUGGAAGGGCCAUCGCUCAACGGAUAAAAGGUACUCCGGGGAUAACAGGCUGAUACCGCCCAAGAGUUCAUAUCGACGGCGGUGUUUGGCACCUCGAUGUCGGCUCAUCACAUCCUGGGGCUGAAGUAGGUCCCAAGGGUAUGGCUGUUCGCCAUUUAAAGUGGUACGCGAGCUGGGUUUAGAACGUCGUGAGACAGUUCGGUCCCUAUCUGCCGUGGGCGCUGGAGAAUUGAGGGGGGCUGCUCCUAGUACGAGAGGACCGGAGUGGACGCAUCACUGGUGUUCGGGUUGUCAUGCCAAUGGCACUGCCCGGUAGCUAAAUGCGGAAGAGAUAAGUGCUGAAAGCAUCUAAGCACGAAACUUGCCCCGAGAUGAGUUCUCCCUGAGACUUUAAGUCUCCUGAAGGAACGUUAAAGACGAUGACGUUGAUAGGCCGGGUGUGUAAGCGCAGCGAUGCGUUGAGCUAACCGGUACUAAUGAACCGUGAGGCUUAACCUU
RNAcentral lists this ribosomal RNA (2963 nucleotides) under Klebsiella pneumoniae. Its description in RNAcentral is "23S ribosomal RNA". The stretch from base 1147 to 2963 matches the Rfam family "Bacterial large subunit ribosomal RNA". Lineage: Bacteria; Pseudomonadati; Pseudomonadota; Gammaproteobacteria; Enterobacterales; Enterobacteriaceae. The record is from RNAcentral.